Molecule: non-coding RNA, 847 nt
Organism: Microvirga aerilata
Lineage: Bacteria; Pseudomonadati; Pseudomonadota; Alphaproteobacteria; Hyphomicrobiales; Methylobacteriaceae
Source: Rfam
CAACUUGAGAGUUUGAUCCUGGCUCAGAACGAACGCUGGCGGCAGGCUUAACACAUGCAAGUCGAACGCAUCCUUCGGGGUGAGUGGCAGACGGGUGAGUAACGCGUGGGAACGUGCCCUUCAGUUCGGAAUAACCCAGGGAAACUUGGGCUAAUACCGGAUACGUGCGAGAGCAGAAAGAUUUAUCGCUGAAGGAUCGGCCCGCGUCUGAUUAGCUAGUUGGUGAGGUAAUGGCUCACCAAGGCGACGAUCAGUAGCUGGUCUGAGAGGAUGAUCAGCCACAUUGGGACUGAGACACGGCCCAAACUCCUACGGGAGGCAGCAGUGGGGAAUAUUGGACAAUGGGCGCAAGCCUGAUCCAGCCAUGCCGCGUGAGUGAUGAAGGCCUUAGGGUUGUAAAGCUCUUUCGGCGGGGACGAUAAUGACGGUACCCGCAGAAGAAGCCCCGGCUAACUUCGUGCCAGCAGCCGCGGUAAUACGAAGGGGGCUAGCGUUGUUCGGAAUCACUGGGCGUAAAGGGCGCGUAGGCGGCUUUAUAAGUCGGGGGUGAAAGCCUGUGGCUCAACCACAGAAUUGCCUUCGAUACUGUAUGGCUUGAGACCGGAAGAGGUUAGUGGAACUGCGAGUGUAGAGGUGAAAUUCGUAGAUAUUCGCAAGAACACCAGUGGCGAAGGCGGCUGACUGGUCCGGUUCUGACGCUGAGGCGCGAAAGCGUGGGGAGCAAACAGGAUUAGAUACCCUGGUAGUCCACGCCGUAAACGAUGAAUGCCAGCCGUUGGGCAGCUUGCUGCUCAGUGGCGCAGCUAACGCUUUAAGCAUUCCGCCUGGGGAGUACGGUCGCAAGAUU